CAGUAAACAGUCCUUGGAAAAUGAGAUGCUUUAUGAUUUGGGAAGGUAUGAAAUUACUGGAAAGAAAAAAUAAGGCUACAAUAGUGUUAGGAGAGAGGAUUGAGAGGAUUCCAGGAGAUAGAUGGAAAACUAAAAAUGUGAGAAGCCAGAGAAUGAAAGACAGAGAGAGAUGGAAAGGGAAUUAUUAGGAAUUGAAGGAGAAUGUCACGCAAAGUAUCUAGGAACAAGAGUCUACCAGAGCAAUGGAGACAUUACUUCACUUACUAUUUCCAGUUCUCCAGGCCACUAGGAGUCACUUCAGGAGCAGUCUGGUUUUGGAGUUCAGCACAGCCUCGUUAGACAGGAAUAGUCAUAUCCCUAUUACGUCUGCACUUGUGAAAACCUGGGCUCUAGGAGAAGAAUAACUGGCCCAAGAUCAUGCAGUUAAUUUAGAGUCAGAAGUAAAAUGCAGACCUGUCUUUCUCAAAACCCACGUUAAAAG
Lutra lutra (Eurasian river otter) is the source of this 481-nucleotide long non-coding RNA. RefSeq lists it as uncharacterized. Lineage: Eukaryota; Metazoa; Chordata; Mammalia; Carnivora; Mustelidae. The record is from RefSeq and is a predicted model, not a curated record. The transcript has 2 exons.